CUUAAACCAUGCCACAAAAGCUGGCAGGGUGAUCAUACCUCAUUAACAAGGACUGCAGGCGAGCAGACCCAGCUCUGCACGAUUCAGCGAGGAUGUGGCUGGGUCACCAGGAAAGCACCCCUGGCAGCAGGCAUGGCUGAGAACUGUGAGCUCUGGUUUCCCAGCUCUGCCUUGAGUGACUGUCAGACACCCUUCCUCGAUGACACCAGGUGAUUAUGAUACAAGUGCCAAUGGAAGCCCACAACCUGGUAAGAAAGACAACUUCAUUGCUUAAUUAAAUCUGUUAUUUAAAAUUACCAGUCUCCCUCUACAAACAUUCUGCUUCACCAACAGAAACAAGACCAUUUAGAAGCGGUAAGGGGACAACACUGUCUUGCUUUCAAAAUCUAGCAAUUCUUCACACAGGCUUACCUAGAACAGAAGACUCCUGAACAGACACCAGCUCCUGCCCAAGGAUCUAAUGCAGAAUCACAGGUCCCUCCCUCAUGGUGGGGGACUUUGAAGAAAGCCAGAAGCAUCUUGUUUUAUGUGACAGUGACACCAAUCCCCCAAGACAGUUUUCCACUGUAACUACAGAGUCAGAAGACAUAUCAACUCAAGGUCCUUUUUCUUGAUAACAAAGGGUCUGUAAAGCAGUGCUGCUUUCAAAAGAAACCCCUCCUGACUAAACUUCCAAAGAACAUCCCAGGAACAGACUGAAGAUCCUUUUAAUCACUCGUCUAGAUAAAGACACCAGGGAGCUGAAGACCCACCCAAGAAGAGGCCACGGCACGAAGGUCACUUUCUCCUGGAAAAAUUUAGUGUUGUCCAGCAAUGAGGAGCAAAGACUAAAUUAAAUAUAACUGAGUAUAACCAAAGGCAACAAGAAAAAAAAGUCGGGCCCAAAUUUAGUCAUCCUCUUCUAGAUGCAGAUGAUCCCGCUGAGAUUUCUUGCUCCCUAUCUCUUGUCACUGCUUCCAUUUAUCUGCUAGCUGAGCUACCUGAGUUUUGUGCCAAAACAAGUCAACCAGCUAGCUGCUUUGUGCUGUUAAUGUUCUUUUACCUGAAGAAGCAGCUGAAGGUACAGCUACACCUAGAAAUGGAUGUUCCUACAUAAGGAUCACUGAAAAACUACUUGACCAAAGGCACUGGGACAGCAGAACCUCCUGAGGUAGGCAGACCAUGCAACGACCGCGCACCAGGAAACAUCCGAUGGCAAAAGCGGCAUUACAGAGGGAAGGCAAAGUUCCCAGGAAAUGGUGCAAAAUGCUAUCAGAAAACACAGGAACUGAAUCUUAACAACACGGACAUGUGAAAAGGAAGAAGAAGAAACAAUGAACUGUGUAUGAAGGAAAAAAAUCCCGGGAAGUCCUACAAUUACCCUUCUGAGGAAGGGAAAACUGUUAAAAUACAGCACUCAAAGCCACUCAGAUACAGUGAGACAUGAGCUGCAGAUAGGAUAGCACAGUCAUAAAACUGGGCUGUAUCUUAUCAUACAGAAAUUGAAAAGAAGCAAGUUUUCACAUGAGAUGUGGAGCACUGCCUUAGCACCAGUGUGUGAAGGACCAUGAAGACAGGCAAGUCUCCACUGUGGAGGGAACAAUCAGAGAAAAAAGAAAAAUUUCAAAGCUAAAGGCUUUCUCUGGGCAAAGGAGAAAAUAACCCCGCUUUUUCACAAGCAUAAAUGUCAGUUUUAGAAAAGCCCCAUCUCAGCCUAUGACUGUUAGAACAAAGAAACAGAAUGAUAAAGGAAGAUUUUUCUAGAGGAAGUCAAGUAAACUCUCUAACAACCAUCACAAAAUAUAGGAGAGUCAGAAACAAGCAUUUACCUUCCUGGAGGGGCACGUCAAACACCAAAUUGCUGCGUCGGUGACAAGGAAGGUGAUUUCCUAUACAAAACCAAUGUGUGUCUUUCCACACACACCCUUUUUCCUGUUCUGGUAUAUUAUCCCUUCCCCGUUACUUAGCCUGGCUGUCAUUUUUGCUUUACAGCUUAUCUUAUAGUGAAACACUCCCCCAGCUCAAUGGAGGAGACGGUUUAAUACAGCAGAUCACAUGUAUGUUGCUUCCAGCUUGUUCCGCAGGCUCUUCUGUCAGCUUUGGAAGAAGAUACGCCUAUCGUGGUUGCUGAUACCGCUUCAGUGCUCCACUGUGGCACACUUCAGAUAGCCUGGUGGCAGGGCAGAGCUGAUCCUGCCCGCCAGGAGAUAAGGACUGCUCAUUACUCACAAAAACAAAAAACAAGAAAAGAACCAGAGGAAGGAGUUGGCAGCGGCGUCCCAGAGCAGCACAAGGUGCAGCUCCCUGCAGACAGCUGGGAGCUGGCAGUUUCUCAGCAGGAGUCUUUGAGGUGGAGAGCUGCUUCUCUGCAGCACUGCCACCCUCCGGCUCAGGGGGAAAACUUGCUUUUGCUAGCAGAGAAGCAUCACCGAGCUCGGAGCUCCUCCAGAUUUAGCACCUUUCUGUCCCACCAGCAAGGACUGCUGGGAGGAAACCUGGAUAAGAAACUUCCCAUCGGUGAGCAGAGGUCAGCAGCUAGGUGAGUUGCUGUCUAGCCGCUAACCAUCAUCUAAUUUAGGGGUACCGAUGUGUCCAGCUCAUCCAGCCAAGACUGCAGAUGCCAGCUAGUCACCACCUCAGUCCUCUGAUGCCACCAGCUAACCAAGGCAGAAGCAGGAGUCAAAUAACUUGUACUCUGUUACAUAAACUUUCUUUCUGGGUCUAGGGGUGCAUGCUAGCCAGCACUCUGGAAGAUGUUGUCCCAGGUCCCCAAAAUGGCACGUGUAGAGAUCACGAGACAAGAACUCCUCUGAUGAACAAUUAAAAAGGAGUGACUUCCCACAAGGCGCCGUGACUAUAUUUAGCUCAGAGGGAAAUUCCCUUUCUGAAUUCUCUCUGUACUGGUUCACACAGAUGACUAAGUGGUUGUAAUAUACAACAUCAAGUGAUGCAGGCUGGCAAACCCCAAGUUCACCUGUCACAAAAGAUCUUUAAAAAUGCUGCUGAGAUUUUAAAUCUCAUUUAGCUGAAGACAGCUCAGCACUGGGAAGCCUGCUCACACUGCAACCCAAAGCAGUAAGAGUAGACAUCCGCAUGUACAUCAUCCAAAAUACAAGGAUAGAUGGUAGCCAUUUUUAGAAAGGGUCGAACGCUGUUUUCCUAUUUUGUGGGCUUUUAAUGGUAAUUUUCACAAUAACUUACAAAUUUGCUGUUACACACAUUAUAGAUCCAUUUAGUAAUGAAAAAUGUAAGUUAAGUCAGCUCUCGGUUGAGAAACUGUUGUAAAAAUGUCCUUGCUAAGGUCUGGUAUCUACUCCCGCAGUUUUGUAUUAAUGCAGGCAGCCAAGCAAGUUUCUCAUGCCAAACCAGUCGAACCUGCUGGCCCUGCCCCAGCCUGCACAUCCUAGAGCUUGUUCUCUGCUCGAACCAAGGUGAGGACCUGGAAGCUUCAGAGUGCUGAGGGAGGUGGACUUACAGUGCAGCAGCUGCAGGGCUCCAGCAUGACUAAGGCAGGAAGAGGAUGGCUUGCUCCAACCCUUUGCACGGCAGCAAUCCAGCCUCUCUCAAAGGGAUACCGCUGGGUGCAUCGCAGCUCCCAGUUAGCUGAUGUCUGGAGGCCCGUGGUUCAGCACAGCUCCGUGUUCUGCUCCAAAGGCCAGGGCUAGGAUAGCAAGCAUGCUGCGGCUUGGUGCAAAGUGCUGUGGCACAACGCUAGAUGGCAACUAGUACACGUGACACUACGCCAGCAUUACCAGACCCUCGUGUCUAGGCGUAACAAAUUCACCCACAGGAUUCUGCUCAAGGAAAGAUAGAUAUGGAGACCUGAGCCCAAAACACAAACAGUGGAACAGACCAAAGCUGGAGAACUCCAGGUGCUCAGCUCUACUAGUCCUCAGCAGAGGAGAGGAAACAAAUCGAAAGGUACUACAGCUUUGAGGUUUUCCACCUGAGCUGUUUCCAUCAUCUCAACAAUUCACCUCUUAAAAUAAAACUUGCUUUACAGAA
Non-coding RNA from Phalacrocorax carbo (great cormorant), 3984 nucleotides. Lineage: Eukaryota; Metazoa; Chordata; Aves; Suliformes; Phalacrocoracidae. The record is from RefSeq and is a predicted model, not a curated record.